RNAcentral lists this unclassified non-coding RNA (325 nucleotides) under soil metagenome. RNAcentral describes it as "partial contains 5.8S ribosomal RNA, internal transcribed spacer 2, and large subunit ribosomal RNA". The stretch from base 1 to 120 matches the Rfam family "5.8S ribosomal RNA", at positions 35 to 154 of the family's 154-position model. The record is from RNAcentral.
GAUGAAGAACGCAGCGAAAUGCGAUAAGUAAUGCGAAUUGCAGAAUUCAGUGAGUCAUCGAAUCUUUGAACGCACAUUGCGCCCUGUGGUAUUCCGCAGGGCAUGCCUGUUCGAGCGUCAUUUCAACCAUCAAGCCCCGCUUGGUGUUGGGCCCCGCCCGCCGUGGCCGGCCCUAAAGACAGUGGCGGCGCCGCCUGGCCCUCAGCGUAGUACAGCUCUCGCUCCAGGGUCCGGCGGCCGCCUGCCAGAACCCCCCCAACUCUGUGGUUGACCUCGGAUCAGGUAGGGAUACCCGCUGAACUUAAGCAUAUCAAUAAGCGGAGGA